Molecule: ribosomal RNA, 201 nt
Filed under: uncultured bacterium
Lineage: Bacteria
Description: partial 16S ribosomal RNA
Rfam family: Bacterial small subunit ribosomal RNA
Source: RNAcentral
UACGAAGGGGGCUAGCGUUGUUCGGAAUUACUGGGCGUAAAGCGCACGUAGGCGGAUAUUUAAGUCAGGGGUGAAAUCCCAGAGCUCAACUCUGGAACUGCCUUUGAUACUGGGUAUCUUGAGUAUGGAAGAGGUAAGUGGAAUUGCGAGUGUAGAGGUGAAAUUCGUAGAUAUUACGCAGGAACACCGGUGGCGAAGGCG